This is a long non-coding RNA of Balaenoptera acutorostrata (minke whale), 2187 nucleotides long. RefSeq lists it as uncharacterized. NCBI's taxonomy places the organism in Eukaryota, Metazoa, Chordata, Mammalia, Artiodactyla, Balaenopteridae. The record is from RefSeq and is a predicted model, not a curated record. The transcript has 4 exons.
ACUUGGUUCCCUCGCCUCAGGCAGGUGGUGCGGAGAAGCAGUGGUCCGCGGGAACCCCGGGGAAGCCCCAGUGCUCUUCUGUGCUCCCUCUUAGGUACUCUGAAGUCGGCACCCAGGGGGGCCAGCUCUGAAACCGGCAUCUCUUCUUCCUCACUGCCUCCCGCUCCAAGUGGGCUGUUUCUCGCACCUACUUAACGCGGGUCGCAACAUCUGGGUGCUGGGAAGGGAGGUCAGCGGCUUAUGACUCAACUUUGGAACGGCCGAGGGUGCUUCAUGCAGAGGCCUCAUACCCGGCACUUUGGAUCAGAGUGCCUAGUGAGAAAUAGCUGUGCUGACACCUCAGCUCGCGGGCUGGACUGUGUGCCUCCAUUGCUGUUUUUAAAGGGUCCCAGAGCUCACAAGUGCUGUGGCAGAGAGUGUGUGCUGCUGACCACUGAAUUACAGCAUCUCCUCCUCCCCAGCGCUGAUCAGGGGCCCACUCCUUAACACUUCACCCCAUCCCUUAAAGCACAAAAGGACAAAGCCGCCACAUUUCAAUAAAGGAUAAAGAUGUUGCUAAUCCACAGCACCAUUCCUUCCUUCAAGGGCUCACCACCAUCUACUAGUGACGGCACAAGAGAUUUUGCCAUGCUUGACCUAGCAUAUACUGUGUGUAGAAUUGAUUCCAAGAGACCCUAAUGCAAGGUGGUUUUGUAAACUUUGAAGGUAUAUUGAUGAGGUCCUCCUUGCCUAGGUGAUUAUGGAAGGGCUCUGAAGAUCUUUCAUCAGGGUUUUUUGCUUUGGAGGGCGAACUUUUUGCAAACAGAAUAUGAAAGGGAUGUAGCAGGAGAGAGAUCAUGAUCAUUAAAUACGUAACUAGAAAAAAAUCUCACCUAGGAUAGAGGGUCCUGCAAGGCAUAUUCACCUACAAAAAAAGUACCUCAAGAAUGUCUGGAAUGUAUCUAACAUUAUCAUACAUGCCUUUCUGCAAAAUACCGACAUUUGCAAUUCAGAGAGCAGCAGGACACAAACUGAAGAGGCAGGAACAGAUUGUAUCUGGGUCCAACUGUGACAUUUAAGUUUUCAACUCUAUGAACCAGCUAAAUCUUCCAAUACUUUAAAUAGAAUUUUGGGAGCCAAGUAGGGAGUAAAUGAUUUUAAAAAAUAGAUGAAUUGCAAUACUUAAAACCUAACUUUAUUUAGUAGAUACUUUGUGAUGUUAAACAUACACGAAAAUGAAUAUUUGGACAAUUGAAGCAUUUGAAACCUAUGGCAUAGAAGUUUGCUAUAAUAACACAGCCCUUUGGGGAAUAUUUCCCUAAAGGAUCAAACAAUUAUUCAUUAUCUCUAUUUUACCUUUUGUUCUUGAUGCUUGUGUAUUUUAAUAAUUCUCACUCAUAUAAGGUAGGAGACACAUUUUAAAUUAUAUUUAUGCAAGUUGAACUCUUGUUUAUCUCCCUUACUGAAAGAGUGAAACACUAUUUCUUUAUUAUGAAUGCAGUGCAGUGCACAAUUGACUCUAGAACCAGAGAGAGGAGAAAACUCCAUCUUUAGUCUGUUUGUAGCUGCCUUAAAUAUUUGAGAGAAUUCAGCUUAUUCAGGAUGAUUCUGUUGCAAUGCAUUAGCGUUUAAUGUGGACACUCGCAAGAACUGACUCAUUUUUCUGAAUGUUUUCCUGGCCUCCAGUGUUUGGUGAGGAACCUCAGAAGAACACAACUUUCUAGUUAAUAAAUAUUUUUGAAUGAGAACAUAAAAAGCAUUCUACAGAAUAAAAAUUUACUUGAUAACUUGAUAACCUCUGUAAGGUGUAGAGGAAGAAUAUAUUGAGAUUUUGGUCGUUGGGAAAAAAGUAAGUAUUUAAGAGUAAUAUACUCAACAUGGUCUGUGACUUGGUGUAUGGUUGGAUGAAGGACUAUCUUGUUCUUAACACAUUAGCAUUCUUCCUUACUAAUGGACUGCUUAAUUUCAUUAACAGGACUACUGAAGAUAAGGUAUUGCAGCAUUUUCUUUGUCUUGAGUCCUAGUUCUUAAUUUUAUUUGAAAAUGCAACAAAAGAAAUAUUUGUACACUUUGGCUUUAAAGCACUAGUUUAGUAGCUAUGGGAUGUUUUCCCCAUGAUAACAAAAAUACUUAAAAAUGCCUAAAGAUGAAAAAUACUUUUUAGUUUUUUAUAUCAAAGCAUUUGAAAAGGGGAAGGGUGGGAAAGAG